Molecule: ribosomal RNA, 255 nt
Filed under: uncultured bacterium
Lineage: Bacteria
Description: partial 16S ribosomal RNA
Rfam family: Bacterial small subunit ribosomal RNA
Source: RNAcentral
CGGACGGGUGAGUAACGCGUGGAAAACCUGCCGUAUACUGGGGGAUAACACUUAGAAAUAGGUGCUAAUACCGCAUAAGCGCACAGCUUCGCAUGAAGCGGUGUGAAAAACUCUGGUGGUAUACGAUGGUUCCGCGUCUGAUUAGCUAGUUGGUGGGGUAAUGGCCUACCAAGGCAACGAUCAGUAGCCGGCCUGAGAGGGUGAACGGCCACACUGGGACUGAGACACGGCCCAAACUCCUACGGGAGGCAGCAG